Molecule: long non-coding RNA, 531 nt
Organism: Ostrinia nubilalis (European corn borer)
Lineage: Eukaryota; Metazoa; Arthropoda; Insecta; Lepidoptera; Crambidae
Exons: 3
Source: RefSeq, a predicted model, not a curated record
AAAACUGAAUUAACAUGAUGAUUUUAAAUUUGUAUUGUUUAUUUCUUGUCAUUGCGACUUUGACGCAGCUGUUGUCAUGACAACAGAUAACAAAACAUGUUUUGUUGAAGGAUUAUUGAUGAAUAAUUUUCCACAAAAAAAUUGGAUUUUAACCACGAUAGGAAAAUGAGAACCUGCGCCUAUCCGUUUAAACCGAUUGUAGAACUUAUGGAAAGAUAUGGCGAUCUGAGUAUGCCCACUGAAGGGCCCCAAGAAAGAGCCAACAAUAGUCAACGGUGGGUGGAACUAACGGACACGCGAACGUGAAAUGCUGAUGCCACCGGCGACACGAAAACUACUGAGAAAUUGAGAAAAGUGUGGAGUGACUUUAAACAGCAAGAAGAAGGCAACUCGCAUACAGAGCUGCCAAGGGAACACUGGACUGGUGGCGGUCCAGGUUCUUCCCUGAAGCCAAAGGAUUUAGAGCAGAGUGCUUGUAAAUAACAACUUGUAAAUUAAAUCCAUAAUAAAGACCUAGGGUAACUGGAUGGA